GCACAAGCGGUGGAGCAUGUGGUUUAAUUCGACGCAACGCGAAGAACCUUACCUGGGCUUGACAUCCCGAUCGUACCUGCUGGAAACAGCGGGGUCAGUUCGGCUGGAUCGGAGACAGGUGCUGCAUGGCUGUCGUCAGCUCGUGUCGUGAGAUGUUGGGUUAAGUCCCGCAACGAGCGCAACCCUUGUCCUUAGUUGCCAUCAUUUAGUUGGGCACUCUAAGGAGACUGCCGGGUGUUAAACCGGAGGAAGGUGGGGAUGACGUCAAGUCCUCAUGGCCCUUAUGUCCAGGGCUACACACGUGCUACAAUGGCCGGUACAAAGGGCAGCAAAGCCGCGAGGUGGAGCCAAUCCCAGAAAGCCGGUCUCAGUUCGGAUUGGAGUCUGCAACUCGACUCCAUGAAGUUGGAAUCGCUAGUAAUCGCGGAUCAGCAUGCCCGCGGUCGAAUACGUUCCGGCCUU
Molecule: ribosomal RNA, 462 nt
Filed under: uncultured Desulfuromonas sp.
Lineage: Bacteria; Pseudomonadati; Thermodesulfobacteriota; Desulfuromonadia; Desulfuromonadales; Desulfuromonadaceae
Description: bacterial SSU rRNA
Rfam family: Bacterial small subunit ribosomal RNA
Source: RNAcentral